This 433-nucleotide ribosomal RNA is filed under the name uncultured bacterium. Its description in RNAcentral is "partial 16S ribosomal RNA". It matches the Rfam family "Bacterial small subunit ribosomal RNA", at positions 29 to 507 of the family's 1533-position model. The record is from RNAcentral.
AACGAACGCUGGCGGCAUGCCUAACACAUGCAAGUCGAACGAAACCUUCGGGUCUAUUGUCGCACGAGUUCGUAACGCGUGGGAACCUUCCCUUAUGGUCAGAAUAACUCCCCGAAAGGGGUGCUAAUACCGGAUAAUGUCUUCUGACCAAAGAUUUAUCGCCUUUGGAUGUUCCCGCGUUGGAUUAGCUAGUUGGUAGGGUAAAAGCCUCCCAAGGCGUGCAUCCAUAGCUGGGCUGAGAGAAUGAUCAGCCACACUGGGAGUGAGACACGGCCCAGAAUCUUCCGGGAGGCAGCAGUGGGGAACAUUGGACAAUGGGCGAAAGGAUGAUGCAGCAAUGCCGCGUGAGUGAUGAAGGUCUUAGGGUUGUAAAGCUCUUUUAACUGGGAUGAUAAUGACAGUACCGGGAGAAUAAGCUCCGGCUAACUCCGUG